UUACUCACUUUGGCAGCACAUGUAGUGAAGCUGGUACAAUACAGAGAAGAUUGGCAUGGCCCCUGUGCAAGGAUGACACGUAAUUUCUUGAAGUGUUCCAUAUUUUU
Molecule: small nuclear RNA, 107 nt
Organism: Mastomys coucha (southern multimammate mouse)
Lineage: Eukaryota; Metazoa; Chordata; Mammalia; Rodentia; Muridae
Source: RefSeq, a predicted model, not a curated record